GAGAGAGGUGGAGCAGAGUAAAUCAGAGUGAGAGAGAGAGGUGGAGCAGAGUAAAGCAGAGCGAUAGAGUGAGAGAGAGGGGGAGGGAGCUUAAUCUGUUCCACUGCAUCUCACCGGUGACAGCAGACUGAGUUCAUCAGUAGCCUCCUACAGCUCAACAGAAGUGUACCUCGCGGGUGUUUUCUACCGUAGCAUUACUUUUAUCCUAGGCAUCUAACAGCACGGCGCAGGACUUUUGGAAUCCAGAAUUUUACCUGCUGUGAACAGGUAAAAUAAUUUAACACAUUACCCUGUUCAUUUUUACAAAGAGUUCUAUUUGUGGUAAAGAGAGAGAAAAGACCUAAAGAGGUCGGUGGAGAUAGCUGAAGGACUGCAGAGAGAGAGAGAGAGAGAAGAAGCCCUAGAGGUCAGUGGAGCUAGCUGAUGGACUGCAGAGAGAGAGAAGCCCUAAAGAGGUCAGUGGAGAUAGCUGACGGACUGCAGAGAGAGAGAAGCCCUAAAGAGGUCAGUGGAGCUACCUGAAGGAAUACAGAGCGAGAGAGAGAGAGAGAGAAGCCCUAGAGGUCAGUGGAGCUAGCUGAUGGACUGCAGAGAGAGAGAAGAGAGAGAAGACCUAAAGAGGUCAGUGGAGCUAGCUGACGGACUGCAGAGAGAGAGAAGCCCUAAAGAGGUCAGUGGAGCUACCUGAAGGAAUACAGAGCGAGAGAGAGAGAGAGAGAAGCCCUAGAGGUCAGUGGAGCUAGCUGAUGGACUGCAGAGAGAGAGAAGAGAGAGAAGACCUAAAGAGGUCAGUGGAGCUAGCUGAUGGACUGCAGAGAGAGAGAGAGAGAGAAGACCUAAAGAGGUCAGUAGAGCUAGCUGAUGGACUGCAGAGAGAGAGAAGACCUAAAGAGGUCAGUGGAGCUAGCUGACGGACUGCAGAGAGAGAGAAGCCCUAAAGAGGUCAGUGGAGCUAGCUGAUGGACUGCAGAGAGAGAGAAGACCUAAAGAGGUCAGUGGAGCUAGCUGAAGGACAGCAGAGAGAGAGAGAGAGAGAGAAGCCCUAGAGGUCAGUGGAGCUAGCUGACGGACUGCAGAGAGAGAGAAGCCCUAAAGAGGUCAGUGGAGCUAGCUGAUGGACUGCAGAGAGAGAUAAGCCCUAAUGAGGUCACUGGAGCUAGCUGAAGGACUGCAGAGAGAGAGAAGCCCUAAAGAGGUCAGUGGAGCUACCUGAAGGACUGCAGAGAGAGAGAGAAGUCCUAGAGGUCAGUAGAGCUAGCUGAUGGACUGCAGAGAGAGAGAGAGAGAAGCCCUAGAGGUCAGUGGAGCUAGCUGAUGGACUGCAGAGAGAGAGAGAGAGAAGACCUAAAGAGGUCAGUAGAGCUAGCUGAUGGACUGCAGAGAGAGAGAGAGAAGCCCUAGAGGUCAGUAGAGCUAGCUGAUGGACUGCAGAGAGAGAGAGAGAGAAGCCCUAGAGGUCAGUGGAGCUAGCUGAUGGACUGCAGAGAGAGAGAGAGAGAAGACCUAAAGAGGUCAGUAGAGCUAGCUGAUGGACUGCAGAGAGAGAUAAGCCCUAAAGAGGUCAGUGGAGCUACCUGAAGGACUGCAGAGAGAGAGAGAGAAGUCCUAGAGAGCUCAGUAGAGUUAGCUGACGGACUGCAGAGAGAGAUAAGCCCUAAAGAGGUCAGUGGAGCUAGCUGAAGGACUGCAGAGAGAGAUAUAAGUCCUAAAGAGGUCAGUGGAGCUAGCUGACGGACUGCAGAGAGAGAUAUAAGUCCUAAAGAGGUCAGUAGAGCUAGCUGAUGGACUGCAGAGAGAGAGAGAGAGAAGUCCUAAAGAAGUCAGUGGAGCUACCUGAAGGACUGCAGAGAGAGAGAGAGAAGUCCUAGAGGUCAGUGGAGCUAGCUGACGGUUCUGAUACCGCUGGCAGUGCCAGGUUGGAUCUGGUGCCUCUGGCAGUGCCAGGUCGAAUCUGGUGUGGCUGGCAGUGCCAGUUUGGAUCUGAAUACAUAUGGAUGUCCGGUAAAUUUCUCAAAUUUCCAGGAAAUUAAAAUCUUCACGGUCAAAUUGUCUGGAGACAAAUUUUCCGAAAGGAAACUGAAAUGGCAUAUAAAUGGCCAGUGUCACUUUGUUUGUGCUGCACACCAUGGUUCACCAGCAGCCGCAUACAUCGAAAGAUUAAGCUACAAGACAAAAAAGCUUGCAAGAAUUGGACCCUAUUUUUUCAUUUUCGCCUAAAAUGACAUACCCAAAUCUAACUGCCUGUCGCUCAGGCCCUGAAGCAAGGAUAUUCUUGGUACCAUUCUAAAGGAAACACUUUGAAGUUUGUGGAAAUGUGAAAGGAAUGUUGGAGAAUAUAACACAUUAGAUCUGGUAAAAGAUAAUAGAAAGAAAAAAUAUAUACAUUCCGUCAUCUUUGAAAUGCAAGAGAAAGGCCAUAAUGUAUUAUUCCAGCCCAGGUGCAAUUUAGAUAUUGGCCACUAGAUGGCAGCAAUGUACGUGCAAAGUCUUAGACUGAUCCAAUGAAACAUUGUAUUUCUGUUCAAAAUCAAGACUGCCCAAAUGUGCCUAAUUUGUUUAUUAAUAACUUUUCAUGUUCAAAAUUGUGCACUCUCCUCAAACAAUAGCAUGGUAUUAUUUCACCGUAAUAGCUACUGUAAAUUGGACAGUGCAGUUAGAUUAACAAGAAUUUAAGCUUUCUGCCAAUAUCAGAUAUGUUUAUGUCCUGGGAUAUGUUCUUGUUACUUACAACCUCAUGCUAAUCGCAUUAGCCUACGUUAGCUCAACCGUCCCGCGAUGGGGACACUGAUCCUGAUCCCGCUCAUAGUCAUCUGUAGGUGGAAAAUUUUAUAGUCUUUAUUUAUUUAAUUGUAUAAAUAUAUAUUAUAUUUGAGAUUCUUCAAAUAUAAUACCCUUUUGCCUUGAUGACAGGUUUGCAAAAAAAAAAAAUCAGUCCCCACCUUUAUUGUCCAAUCCCGGUCACUUAAAAUGAUUUGUGUAUGUAUAUAUUUUUAAACUGAUACACUCAAUCCAAACUGUCCAGUGGUCAUUUGAUGAAAAGAAAGAGACAUCUGGUAUAAAACACCAACAAGUUUAAUGACAUUCAGAGAUUGUCAAGCCCUAGUCUUCAAUACUGGUUAAGCCUUUAAGGUAGACUUUUAAAUGUUUUUAUUUAAUGAGGCAAGUCACUUAAGAACAAAUUCUUAUUUACCAUGGCAGCCUACCGGGGAACAGUGGGUUAACUGCCUUGUUCAGGGGCAGAAGGUAUAUUUUUACCUUAUCAGCUCGGGGACUUGGUUGCUGACCCAACGCUCAAACCACUAGGAUACCUGCCGCUGCAAAGAUGGGAUAUCUCCAUUUUAGUCGACCGACAGGCCAAGACUUCAAUACUGGGAAAGCCUACAAUGUAGGCAGUAGGGCUGUCCUCAGUGUAUUAGUAGUAGAAGGCUGUAGGUCAGUGUAUUAGCAGUAGAAGGCUGUAGGUCAGGUCAAUGUAUUAGUAGUAGAAGGCUGUAGGUCAGUGUAUUAGUAGUAGAAGGCUGUAGGUCAGGUCAAUGUAUUAGUAGUAGAAGGCUGUAGGUCAGUGUAUUAGUAGUAGAAGGCUGUAGGUGACGUCAGUGUAUUAGUAGUAGAAGGCUGAAGGUCAGGUCAGUGUAUUAGUAGUAGAAGGCUGAAGGUCAGGUCAGUGUAUUAAUAGUAGAAGGCUGAAGGUCAGUGUAUUAGUAGUAGAAGGCUGAAGGUCAGGUCAGUGUAUUAGCAGUAGAAGGCUGUAGGUCAGUGUAUUAGUAGUAGAAGGCUGAAGGUCAGGUCAGUGUAUUAGUAGUAGAAGGCUGUAGGUCAGUGUAUUAGUAGUAGAAGGCUGUAGGUCAGUGUAUUAGUAGUAGAAGGCUGUAGGUCAGUGUAUUAGUAGUAGAAGGCUGUAGGUCAGUGUAUUAGUAGUGGAAGGCUGUAGGUCAGGUCAGUGUAUUAGCAGUAGAAGGCUGUAGGUCAGUGUAUUAGUAGUAGAAGGCUGUAGGUCAGGUCAGUGUAUUAGUAGUAGAAGGCUGUGGGUCCGUGUAUUAGUAGUAGAAGGCUGUAGGUCAGGUCAGUGUAUUAGCAGUAGAAGGCUGUAGGUCAGUGUAUUAGCAGUAGAAGGCUGUAGGUCAGUGUAUUAGUAGUAGAAGGCUGAAGGUCAGGUCAGUGUAUUAGUAGUAGAAGGCUGUAGGUCAGUGUAUUAGUAGUAGAAGGCUGUAGGUCAGUGUAUAAGUAGUAGAAGGCUGUAGGUCAGUGUAUUAGUAGUAGAAGGCUGUAGGUCAGUGUAUUAGUAGUAGAAGGCUGUGGGUCAGUGUAUUAGUAGUAGAAGGCUGUAGGUCAGGUCAGUGUAUUAGCAGUAGAAGGCUGUAGGUCAGUGUAUUAGCAGUAGAAGGCUGUAGGUCAGUGUAUUAGUAGUAGAAGGCUGUAGGUCAGGUCAGUGUAUUAGUAGUAGAAGGCUGUAGGUCAGUGUAUUAGUAUUAGAAGGCUGUGGGUCAGUGUAUUAGUAGUAGAAGGCUGUAGGUCAGUGUAUUAGUAGUAGAAGGCUGUAGGUCAGUGUAUUAGUAGUAGAAGGCUGUAGGUCAGUGUAUUAGUAGUAGAAGGCUGUAGGUCAGGUCAGUGUAUUAGUAGUAGAAGGCUGUAGGUCAGUGUAUUAGCAGUAGAAGGCUGUAGGUCAGGUCAGUGUAUUAGUAGUAGAAGGCUGUAGGUCAGGUCAGUGUAUUAGUAGUAGAAGGCUGUAGGUCAGGUCAGUGUAUUAGUAGUAGAAGGCUGUAGGUCAGUGUAUUAGCAGUAGAAGGCUGUAGGUCAGUGUAUUAGUAGUAGAAGGCUGUGGGUCAGGUCAGUGUAUUAGUAGUAGAAGGCUGUAGGUCAGUGUAUUAGUAGUAGA
Oncorhynchus keta (chum salmon) is the source of this 4876-nucleotide long non-coding RNA. RefSeq lists it as uncharacterized. Lineage: Eukaryota; Metazoa; Chordata; Actinopteri; Salmoniformes; Salmonidae. The transcript has 4 exons. The record is from RefSeq and is a predicted model, not a curated record.